UGGCACUUAUUUCCAUUCAUAAUCAUAUAUAUAUAUAUAUAUACAUACAAAGAUUUGUAUCAUGACUGAAUUAAUUGAUGUGCAGUCUCCAUUACUCUCUGGUGUCUGAUCGAUUUGCUCCAUCCAUACAUUCAUUACAGAUUGUUUAGUAUACGUAAAACAAAUAAUAAAUUUUACAAUCAAUUUUAAGAAGAAAAAAAAGAAGAGAAAAACAACCCAAACCGAAUAUUCACUCACAUGCCAGUCUUCACGCACACAAUGGCAGAAACCUCGACUUCCAAACGCCAGCAGCUAUAUACAAUAUAAUACAGACUGAGGUUUCCCUAGUAUAUUUUAUUUGAAAAGAAAACAGUGAUUUAGACGACCAUGCUAAAUCAUAUUAUAUCUCCCAAAUAAAUUGAAAAGCUCGUAAUAGCUGAACUUCACGAGAAACUAUUAGGUAGUUAACUGAGAUCAUUACGUAUGUAUUUAUGAUUUGAACUAACCUUUGCAUGACACAUAUUUAAGUUUUUUUUUUUUUUUUGUAGUUUACGAGGAAGAGGAGGAGCUGAUAAUACUAAAUUAUGUGUCAGAGAUUAGUUGAAACCACGAUAAUUUUGAACUAUCUGAUAAUUUCUCUAACACAAUUAAUUAUUAGCCAUAGUUGUGAUGGCCACCAUGAUCAUGAUAACUCGCAGCAGCAACAUCUGCAGCUUCUUGAAUCUCAAUGACUUGAUAGGAAGUGGUUACGGUUGGUGGUGGUUGUUGAUCAACUGGGGCAUAUUGAUGUGUAGGUGGAGGUUGAGGAGGAUCCUGGUCGUCGCAAGGCUCGGGUUCGGGUUCGGGUUGAGGUUGGGGUUGAGGCUUGGGUUUGGGCCUUGCGAGGAAGAAAACAGCAAGGAGGAGAAAAGCGACCAAGAAGCCCCCUAGAGAAACGGAAACCGCUAUAAUAGCUUUGUUGUUGUACUCAUACUUAAUAAUAGUAUAAGGAGGAGGAGCGGGAUUAUAAGUUGUGUUUGGAGGAGGAGCGGGAUUAUAAGUUGUGUUUGGAGGGCAUGAGCAGUUAUACUUAUAUGGAAUUGGUGGAAGUGGUUGGCUCAUGUUACAGUUUGGAGGUGGUGGUGGUGGUGGUGGUGGAGGGAGUUUUGGCUUGGUCAUGUUGCAAUCUGGUGGUGGUGGUGGUGGUGGAGAAUAGUAUGGAUAAUGUGUUGGAGGUGGAGGGGGUGGUGAAGAGUAUGAAGGACUCAUUGUAAAGCUAGCUUUGAUGAAUAUAUGAGAUAUCAAAAUGCGCUAUCGGCUCUUGAAUAAUUAGUUCUGAGGGUUUAAAGUGUGCGGGGGUACCCUCUAUUUAAAGUGUGUGUUUUGCAACCUCAUGUCUCUACACUAUUUUUACACGUCAUGAUUAGAUAAUAUCGUCUUAAAUUUAAGAUUUCGUUUAAUUUUAUAUACUCUGUAUAUAUAUAUAUAUUAAAGUAUCAUUAAACAUGUGAACUAAUUAUUAUGAAUUUAUUUUAACUUAGGUAGAAGACUCGAAAAAAAAAAGAAAACAAUUAAUUUAAUCGGAACUGACGUGAAAAGGAAUACCUAUAAAUUCAAGAAAGAGUAUUUACACACUUCAAAAAAUAUAUUUUAUUUCUCUUUUCUUAAUAUAUUUCUCUAUUUUUUAGUAUCUAUUAGGAUGAUAUGUGUAUCCAUCAUUUUCCUUCAUGUAAACAAGCAACAAGUUGUAGUUAGAACUGUGAUAAAAUUCCAUGCUUAUGCCAAUGCCACGGUGUCAUUAGUUUGACUUAUUCAAAUCAUUCUCUGACAAAUUAAAGCAUCUGACAUCAAACGGUUUUAUUUAAUUAGCAAGGUCGAGCUCGUGUCCUGAGCUGCUGAUCACUUAAGGUGGUUUGUAUGUUUGAACUUGAGAGUACUCUUCUCAACCAUGAGCACCAAUGCUCGAAAGAAAGAAAGAAAAAAGCUCUUAUAUCAAAACUUUGCCGUGGCUGCUUCUAUUUCUCCUAAACUAGAAAUUAUUAGGUGAUACCAUUAUUUGAUCAUUUAUGAUUUCGACUAAUAAUUGUCUACCAUCAAAGAUGUACUCAUUAACUACCUAAUAAUAAUUAAUUGUAUUAUUCUUUAAUUUAAAAGAUUUUAAUCAAUCUAAAAUAUUGAAUUAUUAUCUACGUGUUGUGAUUAUAAAUUGGGAUCAUAAAUGACAUGUUUAGACCCCCUAUUAAUUUCUCCUUCUAAACCUGUGUCUCCUCCUCAGUUACCAUUCUUUCUCUCCCCCUGUUAUGCACCUUUGCUUUGUCUCCCCUCUCCUCUUCCACCCCCUUCUCUCCCGUUCUUUCUUUUUUACCUUUGUUACUUUCUCUCCCUCUUUUCUACAGUUAAUAUUUUUCCUCUACCUCUGUCUCCCCCUCUCCCUUUCUCUUCCUUCCACCCCCACACUUUUUUUAAUCAAAAGAUAUAGGUUGAUGCUUCUAUUAAUAAUAUAAAAAAUUAUCAACAUUUGUUUUUCUUAUUAAAUAAUAUUUUCAUAGCCACAGUUUAUGUUGGGAUUAGAAUACUAUACUUAAUAUUUGAUUUUAGUAUUUAUUAAUCAUAAAAAAAAUAAAUCAAUUAAUCAUUUAAUUUUUAUUUACAAAAAAUCUAUUUUCCUAACUAUUUUUGAAUAUUUAUCAUUUAUAAAUUGACUAAUGUUUAUUUUUUAUAAAAAAAUAUUAAAUUUCAAUUUUGAAAUAAACAUUCAAAAAUAAAAUUUUACAUUAUUUGGUGGAAAUUGAAUUACUUUAUACAAACAAAAAAAAUUAAAAUAAAAAAAACUUGAAUUGGUUAGUCCAAAUAUAAAGCAUCUUGAAUAUAAAAAAAAUAUAAUUAAAGCAAUUAAAUUGCCAUAAAUUUUUAAUUCCUCAGAAUUUUUAAAUCUUCUAUAUAAACACAAUCUAAAGCUCUUUUUGUUUAUGUUGAUCAAGAGUAUAUCAAUGAAAUAUACUAAUUAGUAUAUAUAACAUUUAGCGUGUUCAUAUAUAUGGUUUUGAUUAUUCAAUUUUGGAGGAAAACUUAAUUUCUUUUAAAAUAUUCUUUCAAUAAACUAUUUAAUCAUAAACUAGUUAUUUUUAACUACUAAAUGAGUUAAUAAAAUUAAUCCACAUGACACUGAUUCAAAUAAAAUAGAGACUCAGAUAUUUUAAGAUUUUAUAUUCAAAUCUUUUGAUAAAAAAAAUAUGAUUAAAAGAGUAAAUUAAGGUAAUCAGAUUUUUAACAAAAAUUAAUCAUUCGUAAAAUUAAUAAAUACUUCCUAUCAUUAACAACAUGAUAAUAAAAAAACAAAAAUUAAGUGUAAAUAAUUAUACAAAUUGCAAUCAGCUAGAUAGGACGCUCAGAAAAUAGCAUUUUUAGUUUAUGCCAUAUGCCAUGUAGCCUUUUCGUAAUUUUUCCAUUGACAUUAAACAUCUUUAAUGCCCAUCAAACCGAUGAAGUUUUGUUUGAGGCAGACGUGGACGUGGACGUGGACAGAGCUUCAUGAGCUAGCUAGAUGAUAUUUGUGUCUGUUAUCUGUUAUCUGUUACAAUGUCAAACAACUAUUUGUGCAGUGGUCAAAUAGUAUUCAAGAUUUUCUAGCUAAACUAGCCAAGUGUGAUAGUUAUUCGUUUUAUAUACCUUUUACUUCCGAUUCCAACUCACCAAUAGUGAUGUACGUUGGGCAUUCAGAAACGCCAUAUAGAUUAGUGGUGGGGUGUAUUUUAAGAUUUUAAUAUUCUGUUAAGUUUUUUUGUGCUGGUGGACAAGUAGACAUAAUCAAUCUGAAAGCACAAAUAAGCAAGUUUCAUAUUGUUUUAAGCCAACUUGAGGGAGCACAAUCUAGUAAACCGCUAAUUUUCAUUUAAUUGCAGUCGAUCAAAUAAAUUCAAAGUAAAAGAUGAGUUGAGUUUCGUGUAAGCGGGAAAUGAGACUAGAAUAUUAAAUAGAAAAUAUUUUGAAGACUUGCCACUGCAGCCAACUUGGUUUGCUUUCAUACUGUUAAUAACGUUCGCCAAUAUAUGCACAUUAUUAAUUUUUUUAUAGGGAAUUAAUUAGUUAUUAGUUAGAAUUUAACUAAUAUCAUCUCUACUUGUAUAAAAAUCAAUCUUAUAUAUACCAACACAUUUUAAGACGUGUUCAAUAGGUAUAUAUCGUUAGCCUAAAAAAUAUAUAUUGGAAACUAAUAAAAAAGUAUUCUUAACAUGAUUUUCAAGCAAUUAUUAUAUAAAAGUCAAUAAAUUUAUUUUAUGAUUUUUUUAUUAGAUAAAAAUGUGAAAAGAAUAAAAAAAAAUUACACUGUUUAUGCAUAUAUUUUUUCUUUCAAAUAUGUUUAUUUCUAUUUAUCAUACAAUGAAAAAAGAAAUAAUAAUAAAGAAUAAAUAAUGAGGCAGUAUAUUAGUAAAUAUGAAGAUAAUUUAUUUUAAUAAUCAUUACAUAUCUUGAAUUGUUUUUUAUUGAUAUAAUUUUUAUUAAUAAAAGUUAAAUUAUUACAUUCACAUUACAAAUCUAUAUCAGUAGUAUGAUACACUACGCUAACAAAUAAUUUUGUUUAGAUAGAAAAUUUUAUAUUACGAAUAUAUAAAAUAUUAAUGUAUUGCAUCAUAUUAUUAGUAUAGAUUUAUAAUUUAUAUGUUAACUAUUUAAUUUUUUUGGGGAAAAUAUUAUAUUAGUGAAAAUAAUUAUAAAAUUUUUCUUUUCAAUUAGUACAUAAUGUAUAUAAUUUUUAUAAUCAAUACUAACGGACAAAACUAUGUUAGUUAUAGAUAGGGGUUUCGUAAUUCCUACUAACAUUCAUUAAAAAUAUAUAAAUAUAAUCAUUAACACGACUUGGUAGUGCUGAAUAUGAAAUGCGUGGUGUAGGUGUUAUGCUUAUAUAUACCACUUUCGAAUAAUUUUUUAUAGUACAUAAAAUACAUUAUCACGAGUUACUAAUUUCUCUAUAUAAAUCUCGGGCAUGCUUAUAUAUGAAUUGAAUGUCAUAAUAUUAUUUUAAAAAAAGUCAUAUGACCGUUAACAAAAAAAAUCAUGUGAUUUCUUAAAAAAAAAUAUAUCAUUUAUUAUAUGGACUGAAGUGACAUAUUUUUAUCCUAAUUACGAGUUAAUAACGUUUAUAUUUUAUUAACUUUUAAUAUUGUAUAAAUAAAUAGAAUUAAUAAUGAAGAUUCCAUGCAUUUAAAUUUUCAAUUUUAGAUAACGUUGGCUUGAAAAAAUUUCAAAUUCAUGGAAAGUAUAUUUCGACUUUAGGUAUUUGGAUUUCCUAUUCAUCCAAAAUUACAGUUUUAAUUUGACAACCAUGACAAAGAUGUUGCAUCAACAUGCGCGUAAUUAAUUAGUAUAUUAGACAGAAUUCAAUUUGAAUAUAACUUAGUUUACAAUAAGUAUAGUUAAUCAGACCGGUUUACAAAUAAUAUAAGUAGUUAGGCUUUUUAGUAUACUUGCAACUGCUUAACUGCAAGAGUGCGUGCUACUACUCUCUCAUUGUAGUUUAUAAAUUCGUCUAAUUCUUAUUUCUAUAUCAUAUUUUAUUUUAUUAAUUCAAUAUAUACUAUGGAAGUCCUUUGUUCUACUUUGAAUUGUAUGAUGUUUUUCCCUAUGGAAUUUACUUGCAUUUAAUCCCAAAUUUCUAGCAUUAUUGACUAGAAAUGAUACGAAUGAAGGGUAUUUAUGUUUAUAGCAAUAGGGGUGAAGACAGUUAGUGAUUUUAGACGCGGGAGAAACAGAGAGAACGAAGAACACAGCCUAAGAGUGCAUCAAGCUCAUUCACAUUUCAAAGCAUAAAUAAAACCAAGAUUGGAAGAUUAAAGAACACAAAGAAAGUGGAAAACACCAAGGAUUAAAGGUUUGAGAAGAAGAUGCAGUAUGAAAAUCCUAAGAAUCUAAUUGACAUAGGUUACUUUAGGCUAAUGUGCACAAAAGUUGCAUAGUGCAGUAACACUAGGCAAACACAUGAAAUCUACAAGUCCUCUAUUGGCAAGCCCACGAUUGUAUUCUAAUGCAAGGGUGAGAAGUGUGAAAUCUAGGAGACUAGGAGGUUUCUUCCAUGGUGGCUUUCUCAAAGAAACAUGACAUACUUGAUGAUAUAAAAGGUCCUUGAAAACGUGCAAAAGCUUACUGCCAUGAACAAUCACUAUGAUGCUGUGUAUAGGAUCCUUACUUAAUGUUUGCAUUCAAGAAGGAAAAACAAACUGCGCCAAAUGGGUAAUCAAAGAAAGUAAAAAGCUACAUUUAUUUCAAAUUGAAGUUAAUUUUUUGGGAUGUUCAGCUCAACAUGUGUUCAUGCCAUCACAUCUGAUAAAUACAAGGGUCUUUGCCACAACUUUCCAAUCCAUCACAUACCUUCCAGCUUGUAGGGGUUCACAAAGAUGUUGCCUAACCAUGUGUAGCCUGUAUAGGUAGUAAGGCUUGUUACUUGUCCGUUGAAUGUUGCAGCUACUAAAUUGCAUGCUUUCCUAUUACUACAUUUAGCUCUUUUUCAUUGUAGUUUAGUUCUUUCAUUUUAUAAAUACUUAGAAGUUUCUACUUGGAACCUUUUUUUUCCCUAAUAUGAUAAUGGUAAAAUAUUACUUUUUUCAGAAAAAAUAAUGACAAAUCUUUGUUGGAGUGGAAGCGCAUAUGAAAUGAGUAUUUUUCUUUUCACAUAAUUUAUUUCAUAUUAAGUGUUGAUUAUAAUUUAAAUCUUAGACUAUUUAAUUAAGAGAUAUAAAUUACUACUAUUUGUGUGAUCAUAAUUAUUUUUUUUAUAUCAUACCUUAUUCAUUCAAUAUAAAAUUGCACACUUUAAUAGAAAUUCCUACUUGCAUUACUCCCAAAAUUCCAACAAGCCAAACAUUAAAUAUUUUAUGUUGAAAAUUUUAUCCCAUUAAAUAACUAUUUUCUUUACUAUUUUUUCUAAUACUAGUGUUCUGUUGCUUCCUUCUUCUUUUUUUUCUUAAGAAAAGUGUUCUGUUACCUUAGUCUCAAAUAUGUUCAAUUUCAAUAUUUUUGUAUAAAUCAGAUUUAAUUAAGAUGAAAAUAUAAUAAUUUCUACUAUCGGAUUUAAUUUAGUUAAGUAGAAUGCGUGAUUAUUAUAUAUAGAUAUUAUUAUCGUGUUCUAUUCCUACUUAUCCAAAUAAAAUAAGAAUCUCUACCAAAGUGAUGCUUGUUUUCUCAUAAGAUUUCUCUAUCAAUCCCGCCGCAAAUAUCUGCUAAAAACAAUUCGAUUUUAGUAUUUUGAAAAGUAAUUUCCAGCCCAUGUGGUGUGGUUCCCGGCACAUAAGCAGAUGGACCGUACGUGACGCACUAAAGCACCCCUCACUGUCAACAAAAGGGGGACCUGAUUUUACUUUUACUUUUCUCCCUCAAAAUAUAUUAUAGCAUUGCAUUAUUCUCCACUAAUCCAAGCAGAGCAUCCUCUGAUACAGUCAACGCUACCACAACAACACGGAUCCAACACUCACUCUCUCUUACAUCCAUCUUGUUCCGAAUUGAAGAAGCUAUGCCACAUCCCCGCCCUCUCCAUCUACACCCGCCUCGCCGUGUUCUCCAUCACCGUCGUCACCCACUCCUUCGCCGGCCACCUCCAUCUCCUGCCCCCUCCUCAUCUCCAUCACCUUCGGUUUCUUGGAAGUAACCCACCCCAUCCAAAACACUUUCCACUUACCACCACCUUUCUUUCACUAUUUCCCACUCUUAUCAACCCACAUUAUAUAUAUAUAUAUAUAUAUUCUAUUUUAUUCGCAAAUGUUAAUCGUUAGUUUGAUAGUUUUUGUUAAAGAGAUUAUUCCUCUUUUUUUAGUUGGGUAUGGCUAGUGCGCUUGAGACACUAUGCGGCCAGGCCUACUGCGCAGGACAUCACCGCAUGUUGGGCGUUUACUUGCAACGCUCGUGGGUUGUUCCUGUCUUCCAUUCUGAUGUUGCCGGUGUUCAUUUUUGUCACGCCCGUGUUGAAGUUAAUAGGGAAACCCAUUGCGGUGGCGGAACAGGCGGGUUUAGUGGCGCUUUGGUUGAUCCGUUUCACCUGAGCUUCCCGUUCCAGUUCACUUUGCAGCGGUUUCUUCAGUGCCAGUUGAAGACUGGAAUCAUUGCUUGGGUUUCAGGGUGGCUCUUGUAAAAUUUGUAAGAUAUACGUAUACUUUUUUAUAAUUAGAUUUCUCUCACUUGCAGCAAAAGAUUUUAUUUUACAUUAGUAAAUAUUAAUCCUCUUUUUGACUAUUACUUUCAUUAAUUGCUUUUAAAAAUUUCUCAUAUUUAAUCUAAUUACAAUUUAAUCUUUAAUUAUCAUUUAUUUAUUUAUUAAUUCUUGCUUUAGUCACAUAUCUUUCAUAUCAGAUUUUAAUUCUAACACUAUUCAUGUUAUAGUGAGUUAGUUUUUUGUUUAAAGGAUGAGAAAUGGGAUUGUUGGCACUGCUCUUUCUAUUGGUUUCUCGUGGUGGCUCUCUGUUUUGGGAAUGCUCGGGUAUCCACUCUUUGGUGGGUGCCCUCGCUCGUGGACUGGUUUUUCUGCUGAAGCUUUUAUUGGUCUUUGGGAAUUCUUUAAACCGUCUUUGGCUUCUGGGGUCAUGCUUGCGUUAGUCUUCUUUCUACCACUGUAGUAUUGUUUGGAUAAACCUGUCCGGGAGUACUAAGAAAUUUGUGUUAUUUAACUUUUUCAAAAGCUGAGCUGAAUACCUUCUAUUUUCUUUUCUGAAUGUUGAUUAAGAAAUUUGGGUAAAAUGGACCUUGCUUAGGACAACAGUUGGAUAAAGUUCUAAGUAGUUUCUUAUCUUGAAGUCUUUGAAAGAUUUUUUUUUUAAUUACACAUAUUAAUUAUUAGUUUGUUAAUUUUUUAAUAAAAAAAUUUAAACAUGUAACCUUUGUAUCUUUUCUUCUCUGUCCAUCAUUAGAUUAAUCUUAUAACUUCUGCCAUUCAAAGUUAAGUGAGUUGUCAUCAUAAUAUUGACAAUAUUUGAUGUAAUAUUAUGGGAGUGGCUGUUGGAUCCGGAUGGCAAGCAUAUGUAGCAUACAUAAAUAUAGGAUGCUACUACCUUAUCGGGCUCCCCUCGGAAUUAUCAUGGGCUGGGUCUUCAAAAGUGGUGUAACUGUAAGUAUAAUCCGCUACUUAAUUAUCACAUCUAAACACUGAUUUUGGGUUUGAAUAAUUCUUAAGUGGUGUGCUGACAUGGGAAUGAUAUGCAUGGCAGGGAAUCUUGGGCGGGCAUGAUCUUCGGUGGCACAGCAAUCCAAACGCUGAUACUGAUUAUAGUAACGAUACGAUGUGAUUGGGAAAAGGAGGUAUAGUUUUACUGUUACAUAAAUAAUCCGUAGCUUAUUCCAAUUCCUUAUCAGCAUCACUUGGCAUAUUGACAAACUUGAAAUUAAGAUCUCCACAUAAUAAGUUAUUCAUAUCAAUAGCGUAAAUAUGCAUGUUCUAAUAUUUUUGUUUAAAUUGCAUUUUUUAGGGGGAGAAAGCUUGCUUUCGUGUAAAUAAGUGGUAAAAAAAUCCAACUCCAACGGCCAACUGAAAACCUACAAUUUACAUUAAUUGAUUUAGCCGAUGGAGUUUGCUAUUCGGCAAUCUGAGGUCUGUGAGUUAAUGAUGGAGUUUUGGCGUUGUAUGCGUAUAGUAUAUUGUUCUUUCAAUAUAGUUGUUGUAUUCAAAAUUAAAGGUCCGGUUAUUCUUUAGGAUAGCUAUGUCUGUCAAUAUGUUUUACAUUCGCAGUUGAACUUUUGAGAUCCCCGCUCACCGACAACCCAGUUCUAAUUCCAACCUAUGCUUUUACUUCAUAUUCUUUAGUAAGGUUAAUUAGAUAUAUUAAUCAUAUUUUAGCACAAAAAAAAAGUUAAACUAAUAUUAUUUUUUUACUUUUUUUUUUAUUUUUUUCACUUUUUUUUUAAUUACUUAUUUGGUUUCGGAUUAGUUUUUAUAGUUUUAAAAUGAUUUCUUAGUUUCUCUAUUUUAUAUUUUAAUUCUUUUUUGGUCCCUUUAGUUUGAAAGUGGUUUUUUUAGUCAUUAUCAUUUAUAUUUUAAUUUCUUUUUAGUCCAUGUAAUUUGAAAGUGAUCUUUUUAGUUCUUAUAUUUUAUAUUUUAAUUCCCUUUUAGUCCUUACCAUAUUAUCAAUUAUAAUUAACUAUAAUAAAAAAUAAUUGAUAAUUUAUAACUAAUUUGUAACUAAUUAUUUUUAUAUUUUUUUAGUAAGAACUGAAAAAUAAUUAAAAUAUAAAUUAUAGAGACUAAAAAGAUCAUUUUCAAACUAUAAGGAGUAAAAGAAAAUUAAAAUAUAAACUAGGAUUAAAAAAACCAUUUUUAAAUUUAAGAAUUAAAAAAGAAUUAAAAUAUAAAUUAUUGAGAAUAUAAAAACCACUUUUAAAACUAUAAAAAUUAAAAGGUAAUAAUAAUGUUAAAAUUAUAUAGAGUAAAUAAGUAAUUUAAAGCUUACUUUUUUUUUAUUAAUGCAAGAUUGUGGAAAGUGAUGAAGCUCGUGAUUUACCCCGUCAUCAUUAAUUUCUUUCAUUCAUUGUUUCUAAUUUUUAUUGCUGGCUAACAACUAGCUGGAAAAGGUUCCCUUGUUAUUUAGCAGUCGGAUUGUUAAAAAAUAUAGAAAGAGUUAGUCUAAUAAGAGAAGUCGAGUGGUUGAAAUUAGUUUUAUUUUUUAUUUUUCAUUGUUGCGUGGAUGAAAUUAGUUGAGACAAGAAAUAAGUUGGAUACAUAAUAAUACUAUAAUAGUAACGGAGUGAUCUUGUGCAUGUUUUUCGCAACCAUUUUUUAAGAAUUUUUAUUGCUUAGAAAAAUUCUUACAAAUAAAUGGUAUAAGAGGUAAGUGGCCUAAAAAAACCUUUCUUAUUUGAUAUUUUACUUUUAGUUAUAAUGUUAAUAUAAUUUUACUUCUUUCUUAUAUUUUUAAGUAAAUGGUGCAAAUAAUGAAAAUUUAUUUCCAUUAUGUCAUUUUCAAAUCAAUAAAAUCAAACCAAAAAAAAAUACAUUUCUGUAAUCUAUAAUUAAAAAUAAAAAUAAGCUCUUUCGUUAUUACGUUGGAAUGUGGGUAUGAUACCACAAUUGGACCUGCCAGUAAUAGUUUCUAUCUUAUGGACUUGUGUUAUCUCUCCUACCAAACCUAUGGCAUUGCUUUGCCCACUCAGCAAAUGGCUGAUACACCAGUUCAACAUGCAUAACGAUAGCCAUAGCAGAAUCGAAACCGAUACGGAUUGAUAAUCCGUAAGUCCAAUAUGGAUUAGGCAUGAUACUCUAAUCAACUGAGUUAAUAGACCAAUUAUGUUAUAAAAUAAUUAAUAUCGUUGUAUAUAAUACUAAAAUUUCUAAUAUAUAUUUCAUGCACAUUUAUAUUUAGAUAAUAAAUUUUGUAACAAUUAAUUUUGAUCUAAUAAUUAAUUUAUUUACAUGUAUAAAUUGUAAGCAAAAAUCAGAGAUUUAUUAACAAAUCUAUUAAUUUAUUUUUUGAUCAUAUUAUAAUUAAUUUUGAUCUAAUAAUGUAUUUUUUUACGUAUAUAAAUUUUAAAUAAAAAUCAUAGAUUUCAUAAACAUUUAUAUAUGUAAACAAAUUAAUUAUUAGAUCAAAAUUAAUUUUCACAUAAUUUAUUAUUUAAAUUUAUAUGUGCAUUAAAUAUACAUUAGAAAUUUUAGUAUUAUAUAUAGUGACAUUAAUUAUUUCAUAAAAUAAUUGGUAUAUUAGUUCAGAUAGAGAGUUAUGCUAAGAAUAUGAAAGUUACAUAUUCGAUUCCUACAUUGGUUAUUAAUUUUAAAAUAAUUCAUAUAAUAUAUUUUUGAAAAAAUAAAAAAAUCAUAUGAGCCACUUACUGAUCACCAAUUCAUAUUCAGUAGUAUUGGAAUUGCAUUGUUAUGAUUGGUGUAUCAGCAAUUGAGUUAGGUGCAUGAAGAAAAACCCCUACUCCUACUAUGAUGGAUGAGCCAGGCUCCAGUUGACUCUGGAUAAGCAGAUCUAAAAGGCUAAGUUCGGGAUUGCAGGAAGCAAUUGCCCAAAUUCAGACAUCAUACAGCGUGGACGCCCACGCACUGUUUGACACAGUUCCUCGUAGCACAAUAACUUUAGCUAACAUGCAUAUAUCCACUAUACUACUUAUUAUAAAAAAAAAAAUACGGUAUACUAUUAAUAGGCAACACUUUGUUUCGAUCGAUCAAUCAGAUCCAGCACUUGUUCAACAUCUGGCCUUUUAUUGUUAAUAUAAUUCCAUUUUUUUGCCUCCACAAUCACCAUACCUCUGCUAUCCAAACUCUUUCUGCACCGACUCUUACGGAUUGUUUGGUUGUGAGGAGGGAAGAGAAGUAGAAAAAAUAAUAGAAAUGAUUAUUUGGUUGAAAAAAAUAGAUAAUAAUAGAAUAUAAAAUUUUGAAUUAAAAUUAGUUAACAAAUAAUAAAAUAAUGGAAAGGAAACAUUGGAGUUGAGUAAAUGAUAAUUUUAACAUUUUUAAAACAGGAUAUUUACUCCACCAAGCCCUAUAAGUCAUUUUAACUGGUUUUCAAUCAUAUUUUCUUUUGUUAACUGGUUUUGAUCCUACGAUUCCAUUGAAUAGGCACAAGAAUAAAACUUUUAUCUGCAAAUAAAAUUUUUCUACAAAUUAAUCUGAUUAUGGUCCUUUUUUUUUAUCUGCAAAUAAAUUUUAUCCUUCCCCCUCUCUCUCUCUGUCUCUCACCCCACCAUCAUCAUGUGUUUCCCUUUUACAACUUUUCUUCACCAACAAGUUUGCAAUCGGAAGUUCACCAACAUAUCACAUACCAUGCAAAUCACAAAUCUGAAUGCAUUCCAAUUUUAUAUUUCAAACCCACAAAAAUCUAUAUUUAAGAAAUAUAAAAUCCACAAAAUUCUCACAAAAAGUAACUCAUUCAUUUCAAAUAUCAAACCUUUCAAACCAAAUUAUACAAUUUCAGAGCAACUAAAAUUGAAAUAAAAAAUGGUCAGUGAUGUUGACAAGGCCAGUAGAUCCAGGGACAAUGACGGUGGCGGCGAGCAUGGAGGAGGGAGUGGAGGGAGAUGAUGUUUUUCAUGGUGUAGAUCUGAAAAAAUGAAAGAGAAAGCAUUCCCUAAAAACCAAAAAAAAUGAAGAACGGUGUUGAAUAAGUUGGCCACACCCUCCACGCAAACACGUUCACAGGGGCAGCGUGCGGUGGUCGGUUCGACUUUGGAUUCGACGGCAACGAUGACCGUUGCGACGACGUUCGCAGUCUCACAGAGUUGUUGCGGUUAAACCGCGGGUAACAAUUUCUCCUUAAUAAAAAAACACCUAUUUCUUCCUAUAGAUAUUUUUAGCAUUUUAAAUGAUUAAAACAUUCAACAACAGAAAUUUGUAUUACAUUUUUAUUAUUUGAAAUAAAAAAUAUUUUUAGUUUUAUGUGUAAAAUUAGUAAAUAUUUUACGGGAAUUAUUGUUUAGUUAUUUGAAAUUAUAUACUUAAAUAAUUACAAAAAAGGGGAAAAAAAGCCACCUUUAUCAGAGUUCUGGAUCCGAUCUUGUUUGGGUACAUACAUAUUUACAUAAAACUCUGGGAAAUUUUCUUGUCCCUAAACAGUAAACAACAACACUGAGUAUAAAAAGGUGAGUGACUUGUAAGUAUAAGCAUGGAUUCUGGAAAGCUAAGAUCAAAUUUAUUUAAUUAAGAUUUUCUCUAUUUUUUAGUUGUAGCCAAUUGCUUGUUAUCUCGCAAUGAAAUUCAACAAUAAGAUAUGAAAUGUUUUGAUGGUCAUCCCAUUAAAUUUUGAGAAUCAUGUAGAAUAAUUAAGACUUUUUUCUUUGAUAAAAUUACUACUAUAAAUUUGAAAUGUGAAACAAAUGAGUUUUCAAGUUAUUUAUCAAAUCCCGUAAAAAAAAGUUAUGUAUCAAAUAUAUCUCUCACAAUCAUGUACAAUAAGACAAAUCAUAAAAUGUGUUUGCCAAUCAUGUCAGGCAAACACAAGUCAUCAAAUGCAUUUAUUAAAAUAAUUUUAUUUCAGUUAGCUCACAAGUUUAUAACUUUUCUCUUUCACUUUUAUCCUUAACGUUUUACUCUACUUUUUUUACUUUAUCUAUUUCUGAAUUGUUGUUAUACCAUCAUCCCUUGUAUCGUCUCUUUUUAGAAUCUUAUUUUUAUCUUAGAUAUUGUUCUCUUUAUAACAUUAUUUUUCACUUAACAUUGUUUAUUUUAUUUUUAAUGAAAUAAACUCUAAACCACGCCUAAUACAUCCAGAAGGACCAGAAGAGAGGAACAUAAAAAGUUCAAAAAUCAAUCAAAAAAGUCCACUAAAUCUCUUCUUUAAUUUCUUUUUUUUACAGAAAUCUCUUUGUUAUCUUGAUAUACAUUAUAAGAUCUGUUUUUUACACUUU
This 14277-nucleotide long non-coding RNA is filed under the name Glycine max (soybean). RNAcentral describes it as "long non-coding RNA (GMAX_LNC001198)". Lineage: Eukaryota; Viridiplantae; Streptophyta; Magnoliopsida; Fabales; Fabaceae. The record is from RNAcentral.